GUUCCUGUAGCUCAGUUCAGUAGGAUAGAGCAAUCGCCUCCUAAGCGAUAGGUCGCUGGUUCAAUUCCAGUCAGGAACG
Molecule: transfer RNA, 79 nt
Filed under: Enterococcus faecium
Lineage: Bacteria; Bacillati; Bacillota; Bacilli; Lactobacillales; Enterococcaceae
Description: tRNA-Arg
Rfam family: tRNA
About the family: Transfer RNA (tRNA) molecules are approximately 80 nucleotides in length. Their secondary structure includes four short double-helical elements and three loops (D, anti-codon, and T loops). Further hydrogen bonds mediate the characteristic L-shaped molecular structure. tRNAs have two regions of fundamental functional importance: the anti-codon, which is responsible for specific mRNA codon recognition, and the 3' end, to which the tRNAs corresponding amino acid is attached (by aminoacyl-tRNA synthetases). tRNAs cope with the degeneracy of the genetic code in two manners: having more than one tRNA (with a specific anti-codon) for a particular amino acid; and 'wobble' base-pairing, i.e. permitting non-standard base-pairing at the 3rd anti-codon position.
Source: RNAcentral